Molecule: ribosomal RNA, 937 nt
Filed under: Lentistoma bipolare
Lineage: Eukaryota; Fungi; Ascomycota; Dothideomycetes; Pleosporales; Lophiostomataceae
Description: SSU rRNA
Rfam family: Eukaryotic small subunit ribosomal RNA
Source: RNAcentral
GUUAUCGUUUAUUUGAUAGUACCUUACUACUUGGAUAACCGUGGUAAUUCUAGAGCUAAUACAUGCUAAAAACCCUGACUUCGGAAAGGGUGUAUUUAUUAGAUAAAAAACCAAUGCCCUCCGGGGCUCUUUGGUGAUUCAUGAUAACUUAACGGAUCGCAUGGCCUUGCGCCGGCGACGGUUCAUUCAAAUUUCUGCCCUAUCAACUUUCGAUGGUAAGGUAUUGGCUUACCAUGGUUUCAACGGGUAACGGGGAAUUAGGGUUCGAUUCCGGAGAGGGAGCCUGAGAAACGGCUACCACAUCCAAGGAAGGCAGCAGGCGCGCAAAUUACCCAAUCCCGACACGGGGAGGUAGUGACAAUAAAUACUGAUACAGGGCUCUUUUGGGUCUUGUAAUCGGAAUGAGUACAAUUUAAACCUCUUAACGAGGAACAAUUGGAGGGCAAGUCUGGUGCCAGCAGCCGCGGUAAUUCCAGCUCCAAUAGCGUAUAUUAAAGUUGUUGCAGUUAAAAAGCUCGUAGUUGAAUCUUGGGCCUGGCUGGCCGGUCCGCCUCACCGCGUGUACUGGUCUGGCCGGGCCUUUCCUUCUGGAGAACCUCAUGCCCUUCAUUGGGUGUGUUGGGGAACCAGGACUUUUACUUUGAAAAAAUUAGAGUGUUCAAAGCAGGCCUUUGCUCGAAUACGUUAGCAUGGAAUAAUAGAAUAGGACGUGCGGUCCUAUUUUGUUGGUUUCUAGGACCGCCGUAAUGAUUAAUAGGGAUAGUCGGGGGCAUCAGUAUUCAAUUGUCAGAGGUGAAAUUCUUGGAUUUAUUGAAGACUAACUACUGCGAAAGCAUUUGCCAAGGAUGUUUUCAUUAAUCAGUGAACGAAAGUUAGGGGAUCGAAGACGAUCAGAUACCGUCGUAGUCUUAACCGUAAACUAUGCCGACUAGGGAUC